RNAcentral lists this ribosomal RNA (492 nucleotides) under uncultured bacterium. RNAcentral describes it as "partial 16S ribosomal RNA". It matches the Rfam family "Bacterial small subunit ribosomal RNA", at positions 29 to 507 of the family's 1533-position model. The record is from RNAcentral.
AGUGAACGCUGGCGGUAGGCCUAACACAUGCAAGUCGAACGGCAGCACAGUAAGAGCUUGCUCUUACGGGUGGCGAGUGGCGGACGGGUGAGGAAUACAUCGGAAUCUACUUUUUCGUGGGGGAGAACGUAGGGAAACUUACGCUAAUACCGCAUACGACCUACGGGUGAAAGCAGGGGAUCUUCGGACCUUGCGCGAUUGAAUGAGCCGAUGUCGGAUUAGCUAGUUGGCGGGGUAAAGGCCCACCAAGGCGACGAUCCGUAGCUGGUCUGAGAGGAUGAUCAGUCACACUGGAACUGAGACACGGUCCAGACUCCUACGGGAGGCAGCAGUGGGGAAUAUUGGACAAUGGGCGCAAGCCUGAUCCAGCCAUACCGCGUGGGUGAAGAAGGCCUUCGGGUUGUAAAGCCCUUUUGUUGGGAAAGAAAAGCAGCAGGUUAAUACCCCGCUGUUCUGACGGUACCCAAAGAAUAAGCACCGGCUAACUUCGUG